CUCCUGCCUCAGCUUCCCGAGUAGCUGGGACUGUAGGCAUGUGCCAUCAUGCCCAGCUAAUUAUAUAUUUUUUAACUAGAGAUGGGGUUUCCCUGUGAUGGCCAGGAUGGCCUUGAUCUCUUGACCCUGUGAUCUGCCCACCUCCGCCUCCGCCUCCCAAAGUGUUGGGAUUAUAGGUGUGAGCCACCGCACUGGGCCAAAACUUGGCAAUUUAAAUUACAGUAAUUUUUCCAUCUGUUUGUGUCCUCUCUUAUUUCCUUGAGCAGUUUGUAGUUCUCCUUGAAGAGUUCCUUCACAAUCCCUUGUUACUUGUAUUCCUAGGUGUUUUAUUCUCUUUGUUGGCAAUUGUGAAUGGGAGUUCGCUCAUGAUUUGGCUCUGUUAGUCUGUUGUUGGUGUAUAGGAAUGCUUGUGAUUUUUGCACAUUGAUUUUGUAUCCUGAGACUUUGCUGAAGUAGCUUAUCAGCUUAAGGAGAUUCUUGGCUGAGACGAUGGGGUCUUCUAAAUAUACAGUCAAUUCAUCUGCAAACAGGUAGAAUUUGAUGUCCUCUCUUCCUAUUUGAAUACCCUUUAUUUCUUUCUCUUGCCUGAUAGCCCUGGCCAGAACUUCCAGUACUGUGUUGAAUACGAGUGGUGAGAGAGGGCAUCCUUGUCUUGUGCCGGUUUUCAAAGGGAAUGCUUCCAGUUUUUGCCCAUUAAGUAUGAUGCUGGCUGUGGGUUUGUCAUAAUUAGCUCUUAUUAUUUUGCGAUAUGAUCCAUCAAUAGCUAGUUUUAUUGAGAGUUUUUAGCAUUAAGGGCUGUUGAAUUUUGUCAAAGGCCUUCUCUGCAUCUAUUGAGACAAUUGUGGUUUUGUCUUUGGUUUUGUGGAUGUGAUGGAUUACAUUUAUAGAUUUGUGUAUGUUGAACCAGCCUUGCAUCCCCAGAUGAAGCUGACUUGAUCAUGAUGGAUAAGCUUUUUGAUGUGCUGUUGGAUUCAUUUUGCCCAGUAUUUUUAUUUUAUUUUUAUUUUUGAGACGGAGUUUCGCUCUUGUUACCCAGGCUGGAGUGCAAUGGCGUGAUCUCAGCUCACCACAACCUCCGCCUCCUGGGUUCAAGCAAUUCUCCUGCCUCAGCCUCCUGAGUAGCUGGGAUUACAGGCACGUGCCACCAUGCCCAGCUAAUUUUUGUAUUUUUAGUAGAGACGGGGUUUCACCAUGUUGACCAAGAUGUCUGGAUCUCCUGACCUUGUGAUCCACCCGCCUCGGCCUCCCAAAGUGCUGGGAUUAUAGGUUUGCGCCACUGCUCCAGGCCUUGCCCAGUAUUUUAUUAAAGAUUUUUUGUAUCAGUGUUCAUCAUGGAUAUUGGCCUGAAAUUUUAUUUUUCAGUUGUGUCUCUGCCAGGUUUUGGUAUCAGGAUAAUGUUGGUCUCCUAAAAUGAGUUAGGGAGGAUUCCCUCUUUUUGUAUUGUUUGGAAUAGUUUCAGAAGGAAUGGUACCAGCUCCUCUUUGUACCUCUGGUAGAAUUUGGCUGUGAACCCAUCUGGCCUAUUACUUGCUGCCUCAACUUCAAACCUUGUUACUGGUCUGUUCACGAAUUCAGCUUCUUCCUGGUUUAGUCUGGAAGGGUGUACGUCUCCGGGAAUUUACCCAUUUCUUCUAGAUUUGCUGGUUUAUUUGCAUAUUGGUGUUUGUAGUAGUCUCUGAUGGUAGUUUGUAUUUCUGUGGAAUCGGUGGUGAUAUCCCCUUUAUCAUUGUUUUAUUGCAUCUAUUUGAAUCUUCUCUCUCUUCCUUUUUAUUAAUCUGGCUAGUGGUCUAUUUUAUUGAUCUUUUUAAAAAACCAGCUCCUGGAAUUACUGAUUUUUUGAAGGUUUUUUUUGUGUCUGUAUCUGCUUUAGUUCUGCUUUGAUCUUAGUAGUUUCUUGCCUUCUGUUAGCUUUUGAAUUUGUUGGAUCUUGCUUCUCUAGUUCUUACCCACCCCCCCACGCCCGCCAGAUGGAGUCCUGCUGUCUCCCAGGCUGGAGUGCAGUGGCACAAUCUUGACUCACUGCAACCUCCGCCUCCCGGGUUCAAGCAGUUCUCCUGCCUCAGUCUCCCAAGUAGCUGGGAUAAUAGGCAUGUGCAACUACUCCCAGCCAACUUUUUUUGUAUUUUUUGUAGAGACAGCAUUUUACCACGUUGGCCAGGCUGCUCUCAACUCCUGACCUGGUGAUCCGUCCACCUCAGCCUCCCAAAGUGGUGGGAUUACAGGCAUGAGCCACUGCAUCCAGCCUCCUCUAGUUAAUUGUGACGUUGGAUUUUAUAUCUUACCUUGCUUGUCUGGUGGCAUUUGGUGCUAUACAUUUCCCUCUAGACACAGCUUUAAAUGCAUCCCAGAGAUUCUGGCAUGUUGUGUCUUCGUUCUCAUUGGUUUUGAAGGACAUCUUUAUUUCUGCCUUCAUUUUUUAUUCAGUAGUCAUUCAGGAGCAUGUGUUUAGUUUCCAUGUAAUUGUGUGGUUUUGAGUGAGUUUCUUAAUCCUGAGUUCUAAUUUGACUGCACUGUGGUCUGAGAGACUUACGAUUUCCAUUCUUUUGGAUUUGCUGAGGAGUGAUUUACUGCCACUUAUGUAGUCAAUUUUAGAGUAAGUGCGAUGUGCUGAGAAGACUAUAUUUUGUGGUUCUGGGGUGGAGAGUUCUGUAGAUGGCUAUUAGGUCUGCGUGGUCCAGAUCGGAGUUCAAGUCCUGGAUAUCCUCGUUAAUUUUCUGUCUCGUUGAUCUAAUAUUGACAGUGGAGUGUUAAAGUCUCUCACAGUUAUUGUGCCCAGAGUCUAAGACUCUUUGUAAGAACUUGCUUUAUGUGUCUGGGUGCUCCUGUAUUGGGUACAUAUUUAGAAUAGUUAGCUCUUCUUGUUGCAUUGAUCCCCCUUACCAUUAUGUAACGCCCUUCUUUGUCUCUUGAUCUUUGUUGGUUUAAAGUCUGUUUUAUUGGAGACUAGGACUGCAACCCUGCUUUUAUUUGCUCUCCAAUUGCUUGUUAAGUAUUCCUCCAUCCCUUUAUUUUGAGCCUUUGUGUGUCUUUGCAUGUGAGAUGGGUUUUCUUUUCAUCCUAUUCUAUAGUUGCUAAGAUAAGCACAGCUACCACCUCUCAAUCUACAGCAGAAUGCUGGCCCCAGGGUUAUUUACAUUACCAAAAGCAUUUUUAGGGAACUUUUUAUAAAGAAAGAUCGUUAAGCUUAUUGUCACUCAGGUUUGGCAGCACAGCAGGAUGGUUCACUUCUUUGCUGUGUGUGAUGCUUCUGGAGUGUCCAAAGGCCUAUGGAAGAGUCAAGUAGGCGAGGCCCACUUUUUAUGGCAACGUGGCAUCCAUAGAAAAUGUUAGAAUUGAAGAAAGUUGCAAUACUCCAAAUAAUGUAAAUCGACUGCCAGGUCAUGACAUGUGAGUUCAGUUAAUCAUGCUGGCCCUGUGUUUAUCUGUAGUAUUUGUUUACAAAAGACAGGCCUAACAUUUUUUUUUUUUUUUCCAGUUAGGCUUUUCACAACCUCAUUGCCUUAAUACUUUAAAGUUUGGCUUUAGUUUCUCAAUUCUAAAACAUGUUGAUGACUCUACGGUAGUCUAGACUGAUUAUCUUUCAUUCUGACAGGUCAUGUGAACCAGCUUCAGCCACGUGAGCCCUGUGUAAUGAGGGGGACAGAUGAAGGCUGGACUGAAGUUCUCCCCGGCCCCUUUCUGGAGCACCCGCUGUCCCUGGCUGAUCUCCUCCCACAGUGCAGGCCUCCUCCAGCUCGUGGGCACAGGCUUUACCAGUUUGGCAGUUCUCUCCACAUCCUUCCUGCUAAUUUGCCACCAGGCUCUUAAGAACCACAGGGUAUGAUGAGACCCUACUGCGCUGACAGAAGGCAGAGCCUCUGCAAACAACAAGGGAGGCCCACCCUGGUGUCCACACCCACUCAUUCUCCACAGAGUCCAAAAGGAAGUUGUGGGUCAUCAGGCUGAACCUAUGGGUCACAGACUUCUUUACGAGGUAAUAGAAACCCCACACGAGGCCCAUUCUCCAGGGUAACACGUAUGUAGAGAAAAUGCACCUCCAGGAUCACAAGGAUGGCAGAACCCCAAAAAAACACUAUGGACCCAAAGAUGCUAAAAAAUAGCGCAACUCCUGUUCAUCUUUAGAGGAGAGGGCUCUCAGGCCACCAGGAAGGGCCUCUUCAGACCACAGUGCGCUCAACACCCCAUGGAGCAGGCAGAAGAUGAUGGGGCCUUCAGUGCCCCCUACGCUACAGCCAUGCUGAAAUCUUAAGUUCCACAGGAGUAAAAGAAAUGAUCAAACAAAGAAAUGGCUAUUGGAAAAUCAAGAAACGCUGACAAUGAGAUUUUAACUUCUGAGGACCUCCCAGAGAUGAUGGCAAAACUAAAACCAAGAGGAAAAAAAGCAGACUUUUCAAUACUCCUCAAUGUCAAUCCAGUGCCAGCAGCCGGCCAGACGCCAUCUGCUCCGUGUUUCUCCCUAAGCUUCUAAUGCAGCAUCAGACUUCAUCCAGAAGCCAACAGAGGGGCCAUCUGUUGCCGUGACUAUGCACAGAAACUGAGGUAAGAGGCUGGCCCAGUAAAUUCCAUCCUGCCUGGUUCUGUAAUUAUUUAUGUCCAUCCCAGGAUUCCCUGACAUUCAUUUUGUAGGUAAGAAAGUUGGGAGAGUUUAUCUUAUUUCCAGAAAGGACAGCUGGACAGAAGAGAAACCAGCCAUAAUGGGUCCUUGCCACUAUCUCAAUCAGUUCCACACGCUGUCUCUCCCUUAGGAAAGCCUGGGUCUCACCUGGCCGACCUAGGCCAGUGACCAGACAGCCAUCCUCAGGCUUGGACAUACACAAAGGCUAUGGUUUGGAUGUGGUUUGUUCCUGCCAAAACUCAUGGUGAGACUUAAUUGCCAAUGUAGCAGUGUUGGAAGGUGGUCUGUUUGAGAGGUGACGGAUCCUUACGAGACUGGGUUAGUUCUCCCAUGACUGGAUUAGUUCUUGCCGGAAUGGAUGAGUUCCUGUGAGAGCAGGUUGUUGGAAACAAGGUUGCCUUUCACAUUUGUUCUCUUUGCAUACACCCACCUCCCUUUCUGCCUUCCCAGCCAGCUGAAGCAGCAUGAGACCCUGACAUGAGCUGUCCUGAUCUUGGACUUCCCAGCCUCCAGAGUCAUGAGUCAAAUAAACUCCUUUUCUUUAUAAA
Non-coding RNA from Callithrix jacchus (white-tufted-ear marmoset), 5163 nucleotides. The record is from RefSeq and is a predicted model, not a curated record. Lineage: Eukaryota; Metazoa; Chordata; Mammalia; Primates; Cebidae.